RNAcentral lists this small RNA (966 nucleotides) under Xanthomonas arboricola pv. poinsettiicola. RNAcentral's name for it is "bacterial LSU rRNA". The stretch from base 524 to 966 matches the Rfam family "Bacterial large subunit ribosomal RNA", at positions 1 to 497 of the family's 2925-position model. The record is from RNAcentral. Lineage: Bacteria; Pseudomonadati; Pseudomonadota; Gammaproteobacteria; Lysobacterales; Lysobacteraceae.
UUAUCGGAAGGUGCGGCUGGAUCACCUCCUUUUGAGCAUGACGUCAUCGUCUUGCGGGCGUCCUCACAAAUUACCUGCAUUCAGAGAUUCAUACCGGCACAGGUCGGUAUGCGAAGUCCCUUUUGGGGCCUUAGCUCAGCUGGGAGAGCACCUGCUUUGCAAGCAGGGGGUCGUCGGUUCGAUCCCGACAGGCUCCACCAUAUUGAGUGAAAAGACUUCGGGUCUGUAGCUCAGGUGGUUAGAGCGCACCCCUGAUAAGGGUGAGGUCGGUAGUUCGAGUCUACCCAGACCCACCACUCUGAAUGUAGUGCACACUUAAGAAUUUAUAUGGAUCAGCGUUGAGGCUGAUACAUGUUCUUUUAUAACUUGUGACGUAGCGAGCGUUUGAGAUAUCUAUCUAAACGUGUCGUUGAGGCUAAGGCGGGGACUUCGAGUCCCUAAAUAAUUGAGUCGUAUGUUCGCGUUGGUGGCUUUGUACCCCACACAACACGGCAUGUAACUCCGAGGCAACUUGGGGUUAUAUGGUCAAGCGAAUAAGCGCACACGGUGGAUGCCUAGGCGGUCAGAGGCGAUGAAGGACGUGGUAGCCUGCGAAAAGUGUCGGGGAGCUGGCAACAAGCUUUGAUCCGGCAAUAUCCGAAUGGGGAAACCCACUGCUUCGGCAGUAUCCUGCAGUGAAUUCAUAGCUGCUGGAAGCGAACCCGGUGAACUGAAAUAUCUAAGUAACCGGAGGAAAAGAAAUCAACCGAGAUUCCCUAAGUAGUGACGAGCGAACGGGGAGCAGCCCUUAAGCUGGAAUGGCUUUAGAAAAACAAUCUGGAAAGAUUGGCCAUAGAAGGUGAUAGCCCUGUAUUUAAAAGGGCCACUCCAGUGAAGACGAGUAGGGCGGGGCACGUGAAACCCUGUCUGAAUAUGGGGGGACCAUCCUCCAAGGCUAAAUACUCCUGACCGACCGAUAGAAUUCCC